UACGGAGGGUGCAAGCGUUAUCCGGAUUCACUGGGUUUAAAGGGUGCGUAGGCGGGCAGGUAAGUCAGUGGUGAAAUCUCCGAGCUUAACUCGGAAACUGCCAUUGAUACUAUUUGUCUUGAAUACUGUGGAGGUGAGCGGAAUAUGUCAUGUAGCGGUGAAAUGCUUAGAUAUGACAUAGAACACCAAUUGCGAAGGCAGCUCACUACACAGUGAUUGACGCUGAGGCACGAAAGCGUGGGGAUCAAAC
RNAcentral lists this ribosomal RNA (250 nucleotides) under uncultured Sphingobacteriia bacterium. RNAcentral describes it as "partial 16S ribosomal RNA". It matches the Rfam family "Bacterial small subunit ribosomal RNA", at positions 524 to 773 of the family's 1533-position model. Lineage: Bacteria; Pseudomonadati; Bacteroidota; Sphingobacteriia. The record is from RNAcentral.